CCGCAGCCCCUCCCUCAUCUCCCACCGCACGCCGCCACCCACCACAUCUUCGUGUCCUUCCUCCCAUAGCUCGCCGCCGGCCCUCCCAUCCCUUCUUCUCACCUCGCAGCUCCGACAACUACCAGAUCCACCGCAUCCCCCACCCAUCCAUCCCUCUCGCAAUACAUCCAUUCCUCUCCGGCGCUCGCCUGUGACCCUUAGCCAUGGCUAGGGUUUUGGCCGUGGCAUUGUGUCCAACACUUCACAUCUCCGGCGGCUCCUCUCCAUCCACACAUCGUGUCUCCGGUAGCUCCUCUCCAUCCACACCCCUCUUCCUUGAGCCCACCUUGCCGGCUGUGCGGUGAUGCCGCUAGGCAACGUCCAGUGGCGAGCGACCAACUCCUGGGCCGCCGUCCGCGACACCUCUUCUCCACCAAGGAAUUGUUUGAGAGUCCUGCAAUUCGUGAACAGUUUCUGAGUACUUAGCAUUCAAGGAGCAGCUUGUCAAUGAGCAGUCUGUCUGAGGAUGAAUUUUAGCAGUUGUAGGUUUCCAUUCUACUUGUAGUGAAUAACCUUAUGAAUUCAUUCUCUCUGUCUUGACAACAGUUCCAGCAGCAAAUUUGUGCUUCUUCUUGAUUCACCGACUAGUCUGUAUACUGUCUUUGGGUUCAGAGUGUGUUGUGUACUCGUCAAAUUGAUGGCCUUUUUCAAUCGUUGAUGUAUCAUGUAUCUUAGGGAAGGAGGCAAGAAGGGAUAUACCAAGUUACAAUAUUAUUGAUGAGUUUUUUUCAAUGCUAUACAAUAUAGUUCUUAUUUCACUUGCAAUGUUAAAUUCUUUGGUGCCCAUCAGUUUAGUCAAUCUUUUAAUCCCCUUUCUUACUAUAUACAGUAGAUAGUACUUAAUGAUGCAUGCGUAUUUGAACAGUGGCGUCACCUCUGUUCCUAUAUAGAUUCAUAACAAAGGUCCAACACUGUCAGUGUCGAUUACCUAGCGUGGCUACUGCCCUCUCUAACUAUAAGGCUGUGUUGUCUGUGCGUGCUGACAAGGUGCUGGCAGCUAGGGGAUCUGGUGCAGCAGCCGGUGUGUUGUGUGUGCGUGCUUCCUCUCUGAAUGUUUAACACUGAUUUUUCUCUGAAUGUUUCUAUAUCCUCUACACUGUAGGGUACCAAGUAGAGACAAACAACAGGGUACAAAGCAGAGUCAAACCACCGCACUAUGGUAUUUGGCCUUUUAUCAAGUUCUAAUUUCACUUUAGAAUAUUUCCCUAGGUCUUGGAGACAUGAUUUCUGUUACUGUAUUAACAUGUCGACAUGUUCUGUUUAGUGAUUUCUCCCUAGGUACUUUUCUUUUUCUAUCCUUGUUGUCUCAUGCAGCCAGCCAGGUGAAUAUGUAUGCCAAAAAUAUGUUUAAUCUGAACCUAAGAAGAAAAUUACAUCGUUACAUUGUGGCAGUCCUACAGUAAUAAUACAGAGGUUUAAACCUGUUAAUUUGUGUACUAAACACAUCUAUUAGCGAGUCAAUUUAGAGUAGUAUUACUACUUUUAGUUGUGCAUCUGCUACUAGUACCAAGGCCAAGUGUUUGCUCACUCUCUCAACCUUGAGGCAGACACCGAGCUAGCUAGCACUUGCCAUCAGAGUGACACAACGCAUUGGUUCUUCAACUCCUUUGCUCCAUCACUAGGUUGCCUUCCUGAAUAGUGCUCGUGACAAGUGAUCCUAAAUCAUUUUUCUUCAUGUUAUUCCUCUUUUUAUUUCGAUCACUUAACAAUCUAAUUGUCUGAUUAUGAUCUCUUGUUUUUGGGAUGCAGGUCUAGGUAGCUCUGUAACAGUCGUCCACUGCAUUGUGCACAAUAGAGCUUGAGAGGGCAACCAUGGUGGUCGUUGGGAGCUGAACCACGAUCAACCAAGGGUUUGCCACCGUGUUACUGGAGAUUGAAGUUUUUUAGCAGGAAUUAAUUGGGUCUGGAUAGCUGCCUUGAAUUGCUGUAGUGUUGGAGAUUAAAAUCAGCUAGUAGUGCAUUUUCUUUGAAGCCAUGUAACUCAAUUUUUUAAAAGAUGCUUAUAGCGCUAGAUAUG
This is a long non-coding RNA of Triticum aestivum (bread wheat), 2056 nucleotides long. RefSeq lists it as uncharacterized. The record is from RefSeq and is a predicted model, not a curated record. NCBI's taxonomy places the organism in Eukaryota, Viridiplantae, Streptophyta, Magnoliopsida, Poales, Poaceae. The transcript is spliced from 3 exons.